Molecule: long non-coding RNA, 731 nt
Filed under: Pollicipes pollicipes
Lineage: Eukaryota; Metazoa; Arthropoda; Thecostraca; Pollicipedomorpha; Pollicipedidae
Description: uncharacterized LOC119095411
Source: RNAcentral
CGUGUAUAAAACUGAGGCCGCAGCGGGAGGUGGCAUCAGUCGCAGCACAGCACUCAGCCAGCAGCUAUGAAGGUCGUCGCUCUCCUGCUUGUGGUCUGCGCCUCCGUGGCCUGGGCGAAGCCCCUCUGCAUCGGAGGCAUCUGCAUUCCUAGCAGUCAGGCCACUGGAGGGGCUGCGGGCACCGUCACCAGUGGCACCAGCAAUACACCUGGUGGCACCAGCAAGAUUACGUCCGUCGGCUCCUCUGCAGAGGGAUCCGCCAGCGGGCCGUGUGCGAGCAGCACCAACCUCGCACAUGCAUCCAACAAGAACAAACAGGGACUGCUGGGCAAUGCGGAGUCAAGCGACACCGGAGCCGUCUCGAACCAGAACACCGGCUGCUAAAUGACUCAGUCGCAGUCAUCUCGGCAUGCGUCGCAAUGGCACAUGUGAAACGCUUGUUACGUCGACAGACGCUGUGAUAUCGCGCGUCGGUUGUGAUAUGGGAGCGAAAUGUGCAAUACAGGCUCAUCCCGACAUGAUUGAGCUCCAUUGUGUUGGCGCUGCAAGUGUCAGUUGAUAUUUCUCCGUGGAAGACGCACCACAAACCUCGUGCCAACUCCGAUAGUCAUUCAUAUCUUGGAGACGCAUCUCCAUCAUAUGUGAAAUCCAUUGAAAUGACUAAAAGUGGUUCGGAUCAUGCUUUAUCCUACAAUUGGCCAGAAGUACUGAAAUAAACAUGAACUUUUCAA